CAGGAUCUACAAUGAGUACUUUGAUCAACUCUGGUGACGUUUGUAUAAAAGUGACCUCUCAAGCUGUGUUCAGCCUAAAAGUCCAUUUAAUCAAGAUUUUCUACCUAGAAAAAGAAGAAACGAAGGCCAUGAACUUGAUUCAUUUCACUAGAGAAGCCUGUUGGAAGUGAGACUGUUGUCAACAGAAGGAAAUAGACCACACCUGGAAAGGGAUUUAUAAAUUGCAAAGAGCAUUCACAUGUAUGAGCUCAUCUGAGUUGGAUGGAAGCUGCCAUUCACACCUCUGUCAUCAAGACCAAAAUACCUUGUGACUUCACUCAGCAGCUGGCUGAGGGGUGUGAGGAACU
Molecule: long non-coding RNA, 347 nt
Organism: Nannospalax galili (Upper Galilee mountains blind mole rat)
Lineage: Eukaryota; Metazoa; Chordata; Mammalia; Rodentia; Spalacidae
Exons: 3
Source: RefSeq, a predicted model, not a curated record